AAAAAAAACCCUCCCCCUUUUUUACAAAAUACUCAAUAACUCAAAAAUAAAAUUUUGAAUCAAAACCUAAAAGUAUACAGAUCUUUAGAUUAAUAUAAGAAAGACAGGUGUAAAGUUUUAAGCAAUAAUCAUAAAUGGUUUUUGAGAUAUGGUGCGACAUGUAAAAACCCCCUCCCCCUUUUUUACAAAAUACUCAAUAACUCAAAAAUGAAAUUUUGAAUCAUCACCAAAAAGUAUACAGAUAUGAAGAUUAAUAUAACUAAGAAGUGUUUAAAGUUUUAAGCCAUAAUCAAGAAUCGUUUUUGAGAUACGGUGCGACAUGUGAAAAAAAACACACCCCUGUUUUAGUUACAAAGUGCCG
RNAcentral lists this long non-coding RNA (361 nucleotides) under Mytilus galloprovincialis (Mediterranean mussel). The record is from RNAcentral. Lineage: Eukaryota; Metazoa; Mollusca; Bivalvia; Mytilida; Mytilidae.